AGUGAACGCUGGCGGCAGGCCUAAUACAUGCAAGUCGAACGGCAGCACAGUGGAGCUUGCUCCAUGGGUGGCGAGUGGCGGACGGGUGAGGAAUACAUGGGAAUCUGCCCAGUCGUGGGGGAUAACGUAGGGAAACUUACGCUAAUACCGCAUGCGCCCUUCGGGGGAAAGCCGGGGACCGUAAGGCCUGGCGCGAUUGGAUGAGCCCAUGUCGGAUUAGCUAGUUGGCGGGGUAACGGCCCACCAAGGCGACGAUCCGUAGCUGGUCUGAGAGGAUGAUCAGCCACACUGGAACUGAGACACGGUCCAGACUCCUACGGGAGGCAGCAGUAGGGAAUAUUGGACAAUGGGCGCAAGCCUGAUCCAGCCAUGCCGCGUGAGUGAAGAAGGCCCUCGGGUUGUAAAGCUCUUUUGUCCGGAAAGGAAAACACUGGGUUAAUACCCCGGUGUCCUGACGGUACCGGAAGAAUAAGCACCGGCUAACUUCGUGCCAGCAGCCGAC
RNAcentral lists this ribosomal RNA (502 nucleotides) under uncultured bacterium. Its description in RNAcentral is "bacterial SSU rRNA". It matches the Rfam family "Bacterial small subunit ribosomal RNA", at positions 29 to 518 of the family's 1533-position model. The record is from RNAcentral.